Zonotrichia albicollis (white-throated sparrow) is the source of this 785-nucleotide non-coding RNA. Lineage: Eukaryota; Metazoa; Chordata; Aves; Passeriformes; Passerellidae. The record is from RefSeq and is a predicted model, not a curated record.
GUGACUGCAGAUCAAACAGGAGAUGAAGAAAAGCUCCUCCUGCCUCUCUAGACUACUCCUGGCCUGGGCACAAUUGGUUUCUGGACAGAGCCAGGCUGGACUUAACUUCCACAUUCUCUGCCUCGUCCCCCGCAUCAGUGCGGGCAGAGGGGGAAUGGGUGCUGCAUUCAGCUCAUCACACACUUUCUCUGGUGCUCCUUCCUCCUCAGGGGGAGGACUUCCCACACUCUUCCUAGCACCAGUCUCUCCCACAGGAGACAGUCCUCCAUGACCUUCUCCAAGAACAAGCUACCAACAAAUGUGUUGCCUUGGGAGCACCUUGUGCUGGUAGGUUUGAGAGAUGACAAGGGGUGUCUGCAUCCAUCUCUAGCAGAGGUACCCGAGCUAAAGCCUCCAGCUGCCCUCACAGCUGAGCAGUUUAUUGAAGGAACCAAUUUGUUCCCUGGGAAGAUCUUUUCCAUCUGUCCACCUGAUUCUUCAAAACAGAAGAAGGAAGAGCAGGCAGCUGGUCACCCCCACAAUGUGAUGCUGGCCAGAUAAAUCAUGGAGAGUGCCACAGAAGGGGAUCCAUAAGUGAACAGUUUCCCAGAGUUUAUUUUGGACCAAGGGAAGGCGGUUGCCUUUGGGAAGAAGCUGUGGUAAAUGAAGCAAAACAGCAAAGCCCUCCCCAGCUGAGAGAUGGAGACAGCCCACACCUUUUUAAACUGUAUCAUUCCCUAAAGAGCUUUAGGUUCACUUUGAUAUCUGAGAACAGCCCAGACUUUGCCAUCAAAAUCAGACUUAUU